RNAcentral lists this long non-coding RNA (29032 nucleotides) under Malus domestica (apple). RNAcentral's name for it is "long non-coding RNA (MDOM_LNC001202)". The record is from RNAcentral. Lineage: Eukaryota; Viridiplantae; Streptophyta; Magnoliopsida; Rosales; Rosaceae.
AGGGCAGUACCAAUAAUAGCAAAAAACAAAACUAACUGUACCCUAAGGUUUCAUAAUUGGAUGAAUUUACACUUUUUGUCGUUAUGAUUUUUUAUUUUUAUUUUUUUUUACGUAGUGCUAGUGAGACUAAAUUUGUAGAUAAAAUAUACAAACUAAAUAAUGUGUCAACAAUAAGAAAUGGACACGUUUAUCAAACCAAUCAUUAACUAUCAUGUCAUUAAUUGUCUAUAAUUUUAGUCUCCUGAACGUUAUCACUUUCAUUUUCUUGUUGAGUAAAUUGUAGCAAUGGUCCCUAAACUUUAAUCAAAUUGGAGCAAUGGUCCCUCAACUAAAAAUCCAUUACCAUUGGUCCCUCAACUUAUCAAAAUGUGUAGCUAUAGUACUUUUCAUCAAUUUCUUCAAAAUUUUGUCAAAAUAUGUUAUGUUGGAAUAACCAUUUAUAUAAUUAGGAUCCCUCAACUCAUCAAAGUGUGUAAUUAUGGUCUUUUUCGUCAACUACGUAAAAAAUUUUGUCAAAACGAGUUAUGUUGGAAUGACCAUUGCUACAAUUGGGUUAAAGUUAAGGGACUAUUUCUCCAGUUGAAUUAAAGUUGAGGGACCAAAGGUAAUGGAUUUUUAGUUGAGGGACCAUAGCUGCACGUUUUGAUGAGCUGAAGGACCAAUGGUAAUGAAUUUUUAGUUGAAGGACCAUUGCUCCAAUUGAGUUAAAGUUAAGGGACCAUAGCUACAAUUUACUCUUUCUUGUUUCACGGAAAUCAACAAGAUUACCCUUUUAAUUAAAUUUACAUAUUAAAAAAUAAUUUAACUAGUUUUAUGAUAUUUAAAUAUAAAACCGUUGAAUUAUAUUUUUUCAAAGAAAUUGAUUUACCCAGUUUUGUAUCAUAUAUUUUCCUCUCACUCUCACGCACACAACCUUUCAUCUUUUACUAGAUUUUCUCAACUGUGAAAAGAAUACGAGAUACUUAAAAUUUAAGUAAGAAAUACCAACAAAAUAUAUAUGAAAAAUACUAGGGAAACUAUGUUUUAUAUUUAAUAUAUGAUAAAAUUAUUACUAGAUAAUGAUUAAAUAAUUGUGACAUUGAAAAAGAAAUAACGUACCUAACAGUAUUUAAGAAAAGAAGAAAAGUAAUGCAGAAAAAUGCAAAAGCAAAGGGUCAAGUUAAAAUUAAACAGAAAAAAACACGGGCAGCUAGAAAUUUCAACCAGAGAAACACAUAUAAAAAUAUAUCAUAAAUCUAAAGAAGAUCUAUUUUUUUUUCUUUUUUUUUUCUGAAAUAAAAGUUUAAAAACAUAAAACGACACCCGCAUUGGAUGUUUCCGAAAUGCGAAAAAAUAAGCGCAGACCUGAGUUUACGGUCUUCUACAUCCAAGUUAAUUAAUGUUUCUCCCCGUCAAUUAAAUUAAUUUAGAAUCGAAUACCGAAUUUAAAAUUAAUUAAUAUAUAAAUGAAAACUGAAAAUUAUGAAAAGGAAAUUACCAUGAAACCGAAUGAGAAGGUGCUGAUGACGGAGAGAGAGAUGGAGACGGCGGAGAGCUCUAGGUUUCCGAGAUGGCCGACAAACAUGGUGGAAGCAGUGUUGGUUCCAUAGUUGCAGAUGAUAGUGAAGGCGAUGGGCCCUGCAAUCUUCCACAGCUUCUUGGUUUCAGUCCACGCCACCGACCGAGCAUCCUUGAAGCUCCUCACCGGCUCGUAGUCAUGGAACUCGCCGUCGCUCACUCCGUGAAGCAGUGGCGUCUCCAUUUGCGUAUGUGGUUGUUGCAGGGACGCGUGUGCGGCCCUGAAGAAUUUGGAGGUGGCUGCCCACCGGAGAAGAUGGCUGUUUUGUGUUUUUUGGCUUUUGGUUUGGUUUAGGUUUGGUAGUGGAAAAUGGAAGUGCAAAGUUUUGAGGUUUCUGUGUUACUUUUAUAAACUUGAGAGCUGCACGCUUUACAUGUUGCUCUGGUUUUGACUUUUACUCUUUACUUUGACACUACAACAAAUUUUUUCUUUGGAAAAAAUGUGAAACAAUUUUUUUGUUCUUCUAGAUAGAGAUAUUUUUCAAUGAAACGCCUUAUGUUAUUAUAUAAAUAGAGGUAAGUUGUUUUUACAAGUAUUUUUUUACUUAUACUUUGGAUGCGGUCCCUAACUAUCAAUAUUCUUUAAUCAAAACCUUGUUAGUUUUUAGUUUUUGAUUGAGGUCCCUAACAUUAAUGUAAUAAUGUAAGUUACUAUAUUUUUUAAAUUAAAAAUUAAAAAUUGAAAUUUGUAAUUGUUUAUAUUAAUGAGAUUUUAAAUAAAACCCAUAAUUUAUGUGAUUAAAAAUAAUAAAAUAUAAAUUAUACUCUCUAUUAUAUUGUGUGUGUGUGUGUACAUAUAUGUAUGGGUACAUUAACCAAAAUUAACAAAAAAAGUUAUUGUACCAAAACAUGGAUACAUUCUCAAAUCAACGAAAAAGAAUGUACCCAUAUAAGUUUAAACAUGGAUUAAAAAAUUUGAAUGGAUUUUAUAUUAAAAAAAAGGCUACAUUUUACAUAUAACAAAUUGAUAUAUUUGAGAAUGGGUACAUUUAAGAUUAAAAAAAUAGAAAAAUUAUAUGAAUGGGUACAUUUAAGAUUAAAAAUUGAGAAUCUUUAUAUAUAUAAACUAAUAGGUACAAACUUAAUUUAAUUUAAUUUUUUAUUAUUUUGGAAAUGUUUGAAUUGAAAAUUAAUUAGAAGUUUAAUAGAGGUGUGAGUAUUAAACCCUAAAUUAAUUACUAAUUUUUAUAUUAAAAAAUUAUAUAAUAAACAUGUAAAUUCAUUAUCACAUUAAUGCUAGGGACAUGAAUCAAAAUUUGAUAACUAAUAAGGUCUUAGUUAAUAAACAGUAAGAACUAGGGACCGGAUACUAAUUUUUCCUAAUUACAAUUUACCAUAACAAAAACAUGUGCUCUCGUAUUGCACUCCUAGAUAAUUAUUAUGUUUACAUUCAUUCAAUUGUAAUUGACAAAUUUUUAUUUAUUAAUAUUUUUUUUUAACAAACGAUAUUAUCUACAUGAAUGUAAUAUUUUAUAAUGUUAGCCAUUUUAUGUUGUUUAACGAAUUUUUAUUGAUUAUUAGAAUCAUAUUGUUUGCCAUUUUAUGUUUUUAGUAUAAUAUUUUAUAAAAUAUUAACAUGAUAAUUAAUGUUAAAUUGUGAAGUGACAAAGAAAUCAUAUAAAGAGUCUCACUAUGAGAAAAUGUCCUUAACAUUUAUCCUAAAUUUUUAUUGUUACUAUUGUUAUAUUAUUAUACCAUCAGAUAAGAUAUUGCUUAAAUCCAAUACUUCGAGAUACGUUUUGCUUUAUCUAUAUACAGAGCCUCCCAAAAUCUAAACUACUGAGAUUUCGUUUAUCUAUAUACAGAGCCUCCCAAAAUCUAAACUACUGAGAUUUCGUUUAAAAUAAUUAAAGAUAAAAAUAUCUCUUGGUGAAUGUAAAACAUACAUACAUAUAAAUAUAUACACACACACAUACAUGUAUAUAUAUAUAUAUAUAUACACGCCCUUUAAGGGAAGAGAUCCCUAUUUUUUCAAAAUAUAUACAUACACACACGUACAUGUAUAUACACACACAUACAUACAUAUAUAUAUAUAUAUAUAUAUAUAUAUAUAGACACAUGCCCUUUAAGGGAAGGGAAGGGAUUCCUAUUUUUCAAAAAAAUGGGGACACCCUCUUGACCAUUAAAUUUGACUUUAAUGAAAUUAUGUGGCUGAAAUUAAAUCACAGGCUACAGAAUCUCAACCAUAGAAUUUUAUUAAAGUCAAAUCUAACGGUCAAGAUGAUGCCCUCAUUUUUUUUGAAAAUUGGGGAUCCCUUCCCUUUUCAUAUAUAUAUAUAUAUAUAUAUAUAUAUAUAUAUAUAUAUAUAUAUAUAUAUACACGCCCUUUAAGGGAAGAGAUCCCUAUUUUUUCAAAAUAUAUACAUACACACACGUACAUGUAUAUACACAUACAUACAUAUAUAUAUAUAUAUAUAUAUAUAUAUAUAUAGACACAUGCCCUUUAAGGGAAGGGAAGGGAUUCCUAUUUUUCAAAAAAAUGGGGACACCCUCUUGACCAUUAAAUUUGACUUUAAUGAAAUUAUGUGGCUGAAAUUAAAUCACAGGCUACAGAAUCUCAACCACAGAAUUUUAUUAAAGUCAAAUCUAACGGUCAAGAUGAUGCCCUCAUUUUUUUUGAAAACUGGGGAUCCCUUCCCUUUUCAUAUAUAUAUAUAUAUAGGAAUUGCUUAAGGGGAGGGAUCCCCAUUUUUUUCAAAAAAAUGGGGACACGCUCCCCACCGUUGGAUUUGAAUUAAAUGAAAUCCUGUGGUUGAGAUUCUAUGACCUGUGUUUUAAUCUCAACCACACAAUUUCAUUAAAGUCAAUAUAACGGUGGGGAGCGUGUCCCCAUUUUUUUUGAAAAAAUGGGGAUCCCUCCCCUUAAGCUCCAUGUAUAUAUAUAUAUAUAUAUAUAUAUAUAUAUAUAUAUAUAUAUUAAUAGAACUCUAGUUGUCAACUAAAAGAGGGUGAAAAACUAUUUAGUGUUCUAUCACAACAAAAAAGUUUAAAUUUUUUUUCUGUUUUUAAUUUAAGCAUCACCUCACUCCCUCUCUCCCAACUCCCACCUUCUCUCUCACUCUCUUUCUCUCUCAUUCAAUUUUUAAAAUAAAAAUAAAAAAUUUCACACACACUUUGUGUGUGGGCAUAUACUAGUAUAAUCUAUCGAAGCUAUCUAAUCAAGUUUUAUGUGCAGAUUUUUUAUGUUGGCAUGCCUAAUAACCCCCUUCCUUGUAAAAUUCGACAACUUAACCCACUAAUGUUAUCGUUUGUAAAACAAAUGGAGAUUUAAUCAAAUUAAUCAGCUACCUAAUGCUUCAAUGGGUUAGGUCUCCGCAGACCAUGUCAUAUACUAUUUAAUUUAUAAUUUGGUUAAUGGAGAAAAGUUUCAAUGUGAUAGGAACACCGUUCGGUACGUCAAGUGUUAUAAUACAAGUAUUCAACCCUUAUAUUUAUGACAUUUGAUGUAACCGUCUAUGUUUUUGGCACACUAAAAACCUCUUACGGUUACUGGUGUUCAUUUUUCUCCAUCUUAAUUGGUCAUGCAUGGGUAACGUUGACAUGUGGUUAACUUUUAUUGGUGCAUGCGACAAGUACUCACAAAUUAGUUUCCAUAAUUUGUGAGACAUUAGCUCCACCAAGUCAAUUUUUGGGUUGAAAAAAUAAUCCCAAGUAAAAUUACAUCACUUACCAUAUAAUAUGAUUGUGGCCUAAAGAGCUAAAACUUGAAACUAAUCAGGCACGUCUCAUGACCUAAAUAUGUCACAUAACAAAUUAUUCAACCCUUAUAUUUAUGACAUUUGAUGUAACCGUCUAUGUUUUUGGCACACUAAAAACCUCUUACGGUUACUGGUGUUCAUUUUUCUCCAUCUUAAUUGGUCAUGCAUGGGUAACGUUGACAUGUGGUUAACUUUUAUUGGUGCAUGCGACAAGUACUUACAAAUUAGUUUCCAUAAUUUGUGAGACAUUAGCUCCACCAAGUCAAUUUUUGGGUUGAAAAAAUAAUCCCAAGUAAAAUUACAUCACUUACCAUAUAAUAUGAUUGUGGCCUAAAGAGCUAAAACUUGAAACUAAUCAGGCACGUCUCAUGACCUAAAUAUGUCACAUAACAAUAUUCCUUCUUGGUAAUCGUCAUUAGAUUUUGAAUAAUCAUGAAUUAACCUUCAGACCAACUAAUUUUUCAUCUCAUGGUACUCAUGAUCUUAAUAUUAGAAGAGUUUUCAAGUUCGAAUCUUCACACUUUCAAUAAUAAAACAUAAAAACUCAAACCAGUGUCGACCACAAAUAUUUGAGUCGAAUAAUCCACCACACAAUCACCUAAUGUAGUAAGUGAACCAUAAAGUUAUUGUCAUUUGUGUAUUAUCUUUCACUUAUAUUAAAAAAAAAAAAAAAAAAAAAAGCGUGACCUCACGCCCUACGUACUCCCCCUACCUACCAAUCGUUCGUAAGACUUGAAGUUUUCAUCUCAAAGAAUGGACUGUUAGGAAUAAAUUGGACUACCAAUACCAUCACAAUCCAUUAUGCGAUGCGAUGCGAAGCAACGUAGUUACUCUUUGUACCAGUUGUGAAUGGUCCACGUAUACGUAGGUUGGUUUUAUAAUUUGCACAAGAUCGCUAGCAUUACCUUCGGUCUUCGACUCGGUGGAGUUUCAGAGGUAAAAAAGGGAGGACAAGGUUGGUAAUAUCAUCGGUGCUUACUAGUCCACGCCUCCCCUGCUAAAACACUGUUUAUUUGCUGACAGAUACUGGUUAUUAACUUAUUAAUUGGAAUCAGUUACGCCAACCAUUGUUUAGCUAAGUUGUGUGGUGUGAUGGUGUUGAAUGAAGUUCCGUUUGAUAUUUUAUUCAGGACGUCAUUUUUCACGAUUAUAUUUGUAUGAGUUUCAGUUUAAUGUAUCGUCUUCGUAUCAAAGUAUAAGAUAUUUGCUGAUUGACAUAUGGGUUAUAAUGCUUAAUCAUUCCUUAUUAAUUUGAAUCAGCUACACCUAGCGCUAUAAUAUGUAUUUCUGUUUAUUUUUUAUUACAAGUGAUAUUAUAACAUACUCUAAGCUACAUUAAAAAAAGAGAAUUGUUUGAACCUGAGACGAAGUGAAUUGAAAAGAAUUUUUUAUCCAACAGAGCCAUCUACCAUUUGCCUCCGUCUCUCAUCGUUGGAAACAUUGUUUUAAAAUUUUGAGCCGAACAACUUGAGAAUUCCUAGCCAUUAAUGGAUGAUUUUAUUCCAGAAAAUUAAGGAAUAUUGUUAUACAACCAACGUACUCUUUUGGACCAACUUAUGUUAGAAUUUGUUGUAGCCAUUACUGCCAAUGCCAAUAGUCAUAAGAAAUAAAAUUCGAUUUCCGCGAAACAUAAUAGUCGUUGUUCAGAAGGUAAUCGAACACUUGACUUCAAAUUUAUGAAUAAAUACGUACUACUAAACUUAUUGUUCUAAAAAUUCUUCCCUAACGCCGUCUAGACCCUGCCUAGGCCUGAGCGCUAGGUGGCUGGCCACCGCCCCGAUUAGUUCCUAGGCAUUUGAAAAUUAAGAAAGUUCGCCUAGACUCUCAUAGGCGUCCUCCUCGUCCGCCACCUAGCCCGCCUAAACCUGCCUAGGCAUCGUUUAGGUCUCAACUCUCACUUAGAUAGAAAAUCGACAACUGUUAUUUUGCAUUUUAUUUUUUUAAUAAAUGUAAGAGACUUGUUGAAUACUCAUUAUAUACUUGCUCUCAUAUUUUCAAUAUAUUCUAAUACUUUAUAACUUAUAUGUCAUUUUAUUUUGUAAUUUAUGUAUACAAUUACGUGUUUUUUAAGUAGAAAUAUGCACUUGUUUUUACAAUAUAUAUAAUAAAUUUACUUAAAUUCGUCUAGUCCACCUAAACGCUAGGUCCCAGUCCGUUGCCCGACUAGCGCCUAACGUCUUUUAAAACCUUGCUUAAACUAUAAACUCCUUACUGCAAAGAAUAAAAAAUAUGGAUAAAAUAAAACCCUCAAAAUCACCCUCGACUCAAAAUAAGAUUGGUUUUCUUUCAAAUUUUUAUUGUUGCUUCAAUAUCUCAAUUUUAAUAAUGAAAUCGUUAUUUUGUUUUCCCUGAAAAGUUAUUUUGAUUUUUGGGUCCACUUUGUGAAAUCUACAUUCUGAUAUUGUGACCCUACAUCUGUUAUUUUCUCACCCUUUGAGUCAGAUCCUGCACGGGAUGUAAUAUUGUUGUAAUUAGGAGGCAAAAGGAAAGAACAUAAUGAACAUUUCCGCUGCCAAUAGAAUCGAAACCUUUUGGUGAAGAUCGUUAUAAAAAAUAAAAAUAAAAAAUAAAAAGAAGAUUUUACACCCAUUGUCAUGUGCAUGCAAUUAAAUUAUAAAUUAAAUUAGUAGUAGCCGCAUAGAUUCUUUGGACCAUGUUUGUACAAGAUUCAGCCCAACACGCAUAGUGCUAGUGGAUUUUACACACUCAGGAGUCAAGAAACAAACAAGAAGAUUUUGUUAUUGUGGGAAAGUUCAUAGUUUCUCGUAGUACUGGUAACCGCAUAAUGUCUUCAAGGUGAACGACUUGGGAUCAAUGAAACAAGGUAAGCUAAGUCGGAUGAAAAAUAGAGUUGACCUAAAGAAAGGGAUUGGCUCUCAAGAAAUGGAGACAGAUGUCUUAGCUCGGAAUCUGUGUGCCGUCUCAUCGUGACCUUUUCGUUAUUUUUGGUCGGACUAGAUGGGAGAGUGGAGGCAGAAAGCCUCAACUUUGACCACAAUGAGAAGUGAAUGUUGAAGAAGUACAUAAAACAUUGGCAAAUAAAGCCUCACUCUGCCCAAAAUAUACCGAUACAAAAGCAUGAGUACAAUGCAACGCAGUCACUCUUUGUACCAGUUGUGAAUGGUCCAUGUACGUAGGUUUUAUAAUUACACAAGAAUCUGCCAGCAUUACCUUCGAGUCUUCGAUCGACUUAGUAGAUUUUCACUGGGAAAAAGGAAAAACAAGGUUGGUAGUAUCAUUGGUGUUUAGUUAUCCACGUCUCCUCUGUUUAUUAAUUUGAAUCAAUUACACUAACCAUUGUUUAGCGAAGUUGGUGGUGGGAUGGUGUGGAAUGAACUUCCAUUUGAUCUUAUUCAGGACGUCAUCUUUCACAACUAUAUUUGUAAGCGCCAUAAUUUUUUUUUUUUUUUUGUUUUCCUCACAUUACUUUUGAAAUUAUACGCAAUAUUAUUACUCAAGAUAAUUAGAUGAAUUUUAUUUUAAACACAUGGAGAGUAUAAAAUCACAGAGUAGACUGGUAAAGCCAUUGCCUUCCAGAUUCCGAAAGGAAAAUCUCUAUUCUGUUAUGUCGUACCGCCGAGGGUUUUUAUUUUUUUUUAUUUUUUAUUUUAAAGGAGAAUUGUUUGAACCUAAAACACAAUAGAUUGAAGAGAAAUUUUUUUAUCCAACUAGCAAUCUACCACUUUCUUUCGUGGACCAUCAUUAGAAACAUUGUUUUAAAAGUUUGGGCUGAGUAAUAUUGUUAUGAGAAAUUCUAAAAAGACUCUCUUAAAAGUGGGACUAUUCAUAUACUUUCUAUAUCUCAUGUUUUGACAUAAUAUUUUAUAGGGUUAAACUUUGUUUACUACUCUUAUGUUUCGCGGUUUUCAACAUUUAGUAAAGUUUUUUUUAUUCUAGAGUCAUACCUAAAGUGUUAAUUUUAAGACAGUCUCAUACAUCCGUUAGUCAAACUGUUAAUUCUCCCGUUAAGUGAUGAUGUGGCGCCCAUAUGAACAAUGAUUGGAUGCCAUGUGUCAUUAAAAAUAUUAAAAUAAUUAAUUAAAUAAAAGUUAAAAAAAAAACCAUCCCUUCUCCUCCUCCCCCCCCCCAAAACCCAGAAGAAGAAGAAAAAAAAAAGAAUUUGCAACCCAGAAGAAGAAGAAGGAAGAAAAGAAGAAAAAAAAAAAACCGAAUUUGCAACCUAGAAGAAAAAGAAAAAAACCCCAUCCCUUCUUCCCCCGCACCCCCAACCCAGAAGAAGAAGAAGAAGGCAGGUGGGUCGCCGGGGGGGGGGGGGGGGAGGGGGACGAACUGGGUUUGGGCUGCUGUUAUUUUUCUUCUUCUUCUGAGUUGCAGAUUCGGUUUUUUUUUUUUUUUUUUUUUUUUUUUUUCUGGGUUGGCGGAGGCGGGGGGAGAAGGGAUGGUUUUUUUUGUUUUUUUUUUUAACUUUUAUUUAAUUAACUAUUUUAAUACUUUUAAUGACAUGUGGUGUCCAGUCAUUGUCCAGAUGAGCGCCGCGUCAUCACUUAACGGAAGAAUUAACAGUUUGACUAACGGAUGUAUGAGACUAUCCCAAAAUUAACACUUUAGGUAUGACUCUGGGACGAAAAAAACUUGAUGUACUAAAUGUUGAAAACCACGAAACAUGAGGAUAGUAAACAGAGUUUAACCCUAUUUUAUAAAUUAACUUUACACUAUGAAAUGACUAGUCCAUAAAGAGUCUCACUUUGAAAACCUCCUUAGCAUUUCUCGUUAGUUAUACAACGUCCUACCUUGUACUCUUUUGGCCCAACUUAUUAAUGAAUGUUAUAAUUCGUUGUAAUGUUAGUUAUACAACGUCCUACCUUGUACUCUUUUGGCCCAACUUAUUAAUGAAUGUUAUAAUUCGUUGUAGCCACUUCUGCCAAAGCCAAUAGUCAUAAGAAACAGAGUUCGUCUUUUGCGAAACACAAUAGCCACUGUUCACGAGGGAAUCAAACACAUGAUCUGAAAUUGUGACCCUACGUCUAUUAUUUUCUCACCCUUGAGUCAUAAAUCCUACACGGGCUGUAGUAUUGUUGUAAUUAGGGGUCAAAAGGUGUUGAAGAAUAUAAUGAACGAUUCCACUGCUAAAUGUAUCGAAAUCAUUUGUUUAAGAUCUCACACGUGUUGUUAUGUGCAUGCAAUUAAGUUAUAAAUUUGAGUAGUAGUGGCUCGUUGAAUCACCUCUAGGAUCUUAUCAAAAAGCUUUAAAACACAUCAAAACCUACACAAUGUCCUUGGGGGUAGUAAAGUACAUAGUUUCUCGUUGUAUUGGUAACUGCAUAAAGGUCUUCAAGGUGAACGGGUUAUGGUCAAUGAAAUAAUGUAAGCAGGAGAACUCGGAUAAAAAACAGAUUUGUAACUUAGAAGAAGGAUUGGCCUCUCAGAAAUGAAGAUGGAGGUCUCAGUUCGUAAACUGUUGGCCGCCUCAUCGUGACCUUUUUGUUCUUUUUGGUCAGACUAGAUGAUGGACUGAAGGCAGAACGCCUCAACUUCGACCAUAAUAAGAAUUGAAUGUUGAAGAAGUACAUUAAACAUUGGCACAUACCCUAAAUAUACAGAUACGAAAGAGAUACAAAAGCACGAGUUUUCUUUCAUUUUAUGCAGCAAUGUGCAUCAAGGAUCUAUGCUAAUUUCAUGAUAUAUUUUUAUAUAUCUUGUCAGUUUUUAUUUCUUGGCUUCCCCACUUCUUUAUGCGCUUUGUUGUUUGCUCCACCUGCAUUAUAAAUAAGAAAUUCAGUUACGAAUUUGAAAUAGUUUAGUUGGUUAGGGUAGUGUGUUAGUCUCAUUCCAUCCGAGUUCGUAUCCCUUCUAGAUAAAUUAGAGUACGAUAGAAUAUCGUUAUAUACUGAUGAGUACCUCUCUGUCCCAGUUAAUUCUACAAGUCAGAAUCAGCAGGAAGAAGAUCUGAAGAGCAUUUCCACUCAUCAUCCCACCCCAAAGUCCCUAUGCAGCACAUAAAAUUAGAUUGAAAACCAAAGAGUAAUUAAUUAGACUGAAAUGAAAAUAAUUAAAUAAGGGUAGGAUUGCUUAUUACCACAGCUCCAAGAUUUGCUUUGAAGCCAAGAAAGAUGGCUAACGGGAGCCCAACCAAAUAACUACCAAAAUUUAUAUAAGCCGCCAUCACUUGCCAUCCACCUCCAAUAGCAACUCCUACCAAAAAAAAAAAAAAUGAUUACCAAUUAGGGCUACAAAUUAAGUUAAUUAAGGAGACUAAUUAGCUAAUUAGGGAGACUCAUUGGAAGGUUAAAACUUGUUGAAGUGAUUAUACCUGUUAAGACUUGUGUAGCACUGGUAAUUAAGAAGCAUGGUUACACCAAGAAGGUAUGCUAAACGAGCAACGGCGAGCUGCAUCUCUCCACUGCUGGUGAAAAUCAUGGCACUGUAGUCUCUGCUUAUGAAGAUAGCAACCAUGGCUAAAACCCCGACGAUGAGAGCUUGCAAGACUGCAACGCAGACGGAGUAUUUGGCUGCUCUCGGGCGCCCCAUCCCAAGUUCGUUCGAGACUCGUGUGCUAUGUGCAGAUGGUAGAUCAUUAACAAUGUGAUACUAAUUAGAAACACCAGAAAAAAUGGAAAGCACAUUACUUGACAAAUAACAUAGCAGCAUGUAUUUACCUUAUAGCAGCAUUUAUUCCAAGCAACAACAUAAGCAACAACAUAACUUCCCAAUUCCAAAAAUUCAUGCUGAAAGAAAACAAAAAUGAAGCAAUGAGCACCUCUUGUCACUCGUUUAAGUCGUUUACAAGGUAUAAUGUUGGAUAGUGGCCAAAUUAGUGGCCAAGUGGACAACAAGUCAACUCUCCUUUCGGCUAUUAAACAAACCAAAAGAAUGAAGGACAUAAUGAUGUGGGAACAUCAUUAGGAGGUUUUCCUUUAUGAUGUGGCCACAUGAGUGGAAAUUAUGAUGUUUGUUCCUUUUGUUUAUAUUAAGGCAUUUGGUUAUGCCUUUGGUUUUGGGGGUUGGGAACGGCAGAUUAGAGAGAAGAAGAGGUGGGUUACUGUUUUCUAUCCUCCAUUUGUUUGUAAUCCCCUUUUGUUAGUAAUCCCUCAAUCAAAGAUGUUGCUGCUACAUUUUGUGGCUUUUGGGAGAGAUGGUAUUUGAUGUGUGUCUAUCUUCUCCAAUUGUUCUUUGUGAGAGUGAGAGCUAUUGGGUGUAUGUGGGAUUUGGGUUUGAGAGUUAAAACUCUAUUUGUAAUCUCCUUUUGAUAUUAGUGGAAUUUCCUCGCCGUCUCUGAACUGGACGUAGGCUUACGCCGAACUAGUAUAAAUCCUUGUGUCAUUUGGAUUAUUUGUCUUGUCAUACUUUGCCAUAUUAGCUUAUUGGUUUCAUAUUUGACGCUUCCGCACAACAAGUGGUAUCAGAGCUCUGGGUUUCGACUAGGGGCUUUGUACUAGUAUGUCUAUGAAACCUUCGAAUAUGUCGGUGAAAUAUGAUAUUGAAAAAUUCAAUGGGAGGAAUGAUUUUAGCCUGUGGCGGGUUAAGAUGCGAGCUGUGCUAGUUCAACAAGGGUUGCUUAAGGUGCUACAGGGUGUGGAAGCCUUGCCACAAGAUUGGUCUGCUGAAGAAAAAGAAGACGCUUUGAAUCAAGCACAUAGUGCAAUUAUGUUAUCACUAUCUGAUGAAGUUCUUCGUGAGGUGGAUAAUGAAACUACUGCAGCUGGUUUGUGGCUUAAGUUGGAGAGUAUAUAUAUGACCAAAUCCCUCACCAAUCGUUUGUAUUUGAAGCAACAUUUGUACACUCUCCAUAUGAUUGAAGGUACACCUAUUCAAAACCAUCUUGAUGAGUUUAAUAAGGUUAUUAUGGAUUUGAAAAGUAUGGAUAAUAAAAUUGAUGAUGAGGAUCAAUCUUUGAUUUUGUUGUGUUCUUUACCUCCUUCGUAUGCGAAUUUUGUUGAAACUUUGUUAUAUGGGAGAGAUUCUAUUUGUAAGGAGAAUGUAAAAGCCGCUUUGAAUUCAAGAGAGUUAAAGAACAAAGUAUUUGAAAAUUUGAAUGAUUCUCAUUCCGAGGCUUUGAUAGCAAGAGGCAGAGAUAUGGAAUAUGGUUCAUGUAGUAAUAGAGGAAAUUUGGGAUCGAAGUUUAAGACCAGAAACAACACAUGCAACUAUUGUCGCAAGGAAGGGCAUUGGAAAGUUGAUUGCCCAAAACUGAAAGAUAAUGUUGGUGCUAGUGCGAAUGUCAUCGAUGACGACUUCGACUUUGUUCUAUGAUGACAGUUGGCUACACCAGAUUUGAAAAAAAAAAAAAAAAAAAAAGGAAUCUGGUGUUGUGGGUACUCUUGAAUCUCUUCGCUGCAUAUGGAGAUUUAAGAGUUUGUAAGGAUUCUUUUGUUAUGAUGUGUUUGUGUUUUGUCAGUUGCCUCUUCAUUGUUUUUUGUUUGUUUUGGAUAUUGGUAUGGUUUUUCCUUUUGGUAGAAUUGUAUUCAGUGAGAACCAAUUUGUUGAGUUCUGCAAGGAUUUGAUAGUGAGACACCUAAUGCGGAACAUUUGUGUGGAACCCUCUUGUAGAAGGCAAGUUAUAUGCUUUCUAACUUUGGUCUAUGGACAUUUGGUUGGAUUUGUUUGCCACUGCUAUUUGGUUUGUUGGUCUCUAGCAUCUGAAAUAUGCUUUGUUGAAGACUCCAGUUGAGCUAUGGUUUUGGAUCUCCUACUGAUUAUUUGAAUUUGAAAUAUUUGGUUAUCCUAUUGGUGCUCAUGUGAUGAUGGUAAACUUGAGUGAAGGGCAUAAUAUUGAUAUUCAUAGGAUCUGAAUUUGGGUGAAAGGUUUUGUAUGUGGUAUGUUAAACCUUGUUGCCAAAUUUUGUAAUCAAUUUUGACUUGGAGAAUGUGCCAUGCUAUGUGAAUGAGUCUAUUGGUGCAGUUUAAGACCAUGGUGUUUGUGAGCAGGUGGAGUUCGUUGUGUGUCCAACUUUGGUAUGGUGUGCUUGAUCUUUUGUUGGUGAUAUUGAAGAAUUUCAGUUCUUCGUUUGAAUCACCUUUGUUUUGAUCAAGGCACUUAUGGUUUGCAAAUUUGGAGAAGACGGUAGAGAAAUGGUCUACUUUUGUUGGCUUUGGUACAAUUUGAGUCGAGGUGGAGAUCAUUAUGAGUACCGAGAGUUUGGGGAAUUUGAUUUAGUUCCCAUUGUCUUUAGUUUGUACUUUGGGUGCUUAUGGUGAUUGUUGAUUCGAUUCUCUAUGAUGUUUUCGGAAUUUGGCCAAAGUGGAAAUUGUUGGAUAGUGGCCAAAUUAGUGGCCAAGUGGACAACAAGCCAACUCUCCUUUCGGCUAUUAAACAAACCAAAAGAAUGAAGGACAUAAUGAUAUGGGAACAUCAUUAGAAGGUUUUCCUUUAUGAUGUGGCCACAUGAGUGGAAAUUAUGAUGUUUGUUCCUUUUGUUUAUAUUAAGGCAUUUGGUUAUGCCUUUGGUUUUGGGGGUUGGGAAUGGCAGAUUAGAGAGAAGAAGAGGUGGGGACUGUUUUCUAUCCUCCAUUUGUUUGUAAUCCCCUUUUGUUAGUAAUCCCUCAAUCAAAGAUGUUGCUGUUACAUUUUGUGGCUUUUGGGAGAGAUGGUAUUUGAUGUGUGUCUAUCUUCUCCAAUUGUUCUUUGUGAGAGUGAGAGCUAUUGGGUGUAUGUGAGAUUUGGGUUUGAGAGCUAAAACUCUAUUUGUAAUCUCCUUUUGAUAUUAGUGGAAUUUCCUUGCCGUCUCUGAACUGGAUGUAGGCUUACGCGGAACCAGUAUAAAUCCUUGUGUCAUUUGGAUUAUUUGUCUUAUCAUAUUUUGCCAUAUUAGCUUUUUGGUUUCAUAUUUGACGCUUCCGCACAACAAAUAAGUCGUCUGCAAGGGAUUCUAUCCGCACAUUAGUAGAAAUUGUCACUAUUCUAAAAAUCCCUGCCUAGGCCUCGCCUAAGCGCUAGACUGCUGGUCAUCAUCCCAAUGAAUGCCUAGGCGUUUGGAAAUUAAGAAAGGGCGCCCAAACCUACUGAGGCACCUGCCUAAACUGCCUGGGCACCCGCCUAGCCCACCCAAACCACUAGGCACCAGCCUAGGUUGCAACUCAUUUAGACCAAAAAUAGAUAGCUUUCAUUUUACAUUUUAUUUUUUUCUAAUAAACUGUAAGAGACUUAUUGUAUACUUAAAUGAACACACGUUAUAUGCUUGUUCCCCAUGUUUUUUCAUUAUGUUCCAAUACUUCAUAAUAAAUAUGUCAUUUUAUUUUGUAGUUGAUGAUGAAAUUAUAUACAUUUUAAGUAUAAACAGACACUUAUUUACACGAAAUAAAAUAGAUUUACUUAAAUCCACUUAGUCCGCCUAGUCCGCCUAGUCCGUCUAGGCGCCCGCCGCCCGCCGUCCUACUAGCAUCUUUUGGAAUCUUAAAAAUUGUAAUAACUUACCAUAUAGAAAAGGAACCAACAUCAAUGACUGCAUUUGGAAGCAGACCGGCGAGAAGGCUUAUACUCAUCGAAUAACACAAACCUAGGCAAACCAUCAUACAAGAAGCAAGUGACAGCUUAGCAAAAUCCCAAAUAUCACGAAACGCCAACAAUGAAAAUCCAUUCCACUCCUCUUUGCAGCAGACCAUAACAUAACCAACUUGACCAAUUGCAACUCCCCAGUUUGUGAUGUCACAAGUUACAGCUGCACCAGUUGUUCCCCAGCCAAAGACAUUGAUGAAGAGAUAAAGUAGCCAGGUUUGUAUGACCAGAGCCACGAAUGCGAUCAGCGUGACAUGAGAACCUUGCUCUGAGCCUGGAGGAACCUCUGAGUGGGCAAAUUGAUAGCAUAGGAAAACAUUUGAGGGAUUGUCUUUAGGCUGUAUACUCCAGCAAGAUUCGCCAUGCCAUGUUCUUGGCCUGAAAACUUUAGGAUCGGAGCGGCAAAAAAAAAAAAAAAAAAAAAAAAACUGGCAAAAGGAUAUGCAGAUGAUGAAUAACAUAAUCCAUGAGCGCUGCAUAUAGAUUCCUAGCUUCCCUGCUUGGCCUGCUCCAUAUGCUUGCCUACUUGACUCGGAUACGUAUCGGUUGCGUAUCCGUAGGUAUCUCCCCACGUAUCCGUAUCCCAGCGUGUCAGAUAUGGGAUACGUUGGUCUUCCCCCGUGUCCAUGCAUCAUAGACAGCAACAACGUAAAUAAGCAGCAAUAAAACCGGUUACAAAAUUAUAAUUGAAAAUAUAACCAGACCGACACCAAACUGACCGUAAAAGGUUAAUUGUGUGUACUGUGCUUACCAGGAAACCAAAAGGGAUGAUGAAAAUGACACUGAGGGAGAGAGAGACAGCAGAGAGCUCGACAUCUCCGAGAUGACCGACAAAGACGGUGGUUAUGUGGACUGAAUCAGGUAUUGAAAAAGAGAAGUGUAGGCCACCGGAGCUGCAAUUCUCCAGAGCUUCACAGCCUCUUUCCUAGAGACCUCCAUAGCCUCCCCAAAGCUCCUCACUGGAGCAUAAUCAGCAGCUGCUGCCGCCUCUGCAUUGAUUUUCAGCAAUGGUGUUUCCAUUGAGAGAUUCAAAAGGGUUACUACUGCUGAUGCUUAGCUCCAACAAGUUAUAGUUGGAGUUGUGGGGUUAUUCUCUCACGUGAUUUUUGUUUUAAUAUCUAUGAUUUUAUUUAACUAAUUUUUUUGUUUUUACAAACAAUAUUCUACAUUAAACUAAUUUAAGUUGUAUAAAACGGUUUGCACUGAGUAUAAGAGAACACAUCCAUCCAAACCAACAUGACUACGCCCACUUCCACAAAGCCUAAGCAACAAAGAUAAAGCAAAAUCAGAUGGGGAGACGGCCAAUCAAGUCACAAAAGCAAUUUACAUAAAAUAACUUUACCGCCGAGAGCAUCAAGCUACUGCAUAAACCACCUGUCUAUUUUUGGCUCCGAGUGUUUGAAGCGUAGUGUUAGUACAAAAAUUUCACAACGUGUGGUCUGAAUUUGAAAGAGUAGUGAAAUCGAUACCUAAAUAUUUCAGCAGGUCCUACAAGCAUAACUGUCUAUAUACUGUGCCUUCCUCUAGAUCCUAAAAUAUCUAAUUUUCAAUGAAAAAGAAAAUUGUAGAAAUGGUCGCUCAACUUUAACUCAACCAGUGGAAUAAACCCUUAACUAAAAAUCUAUAACCAUUGAUUCCUUAACUCGUCACAACAUAAUUUCGUCAAAAUUAGAAGGAUUAAAGUUAAAGGAUCAUUGCUCCAAUUGUGUUAAAGUUGAGGGACAAUUUCUCUGAUUGGGUUAAAGUCGAUGGACCAUUACUAUAGUUUUUCUCAUUUGGUUUUCCAUAUUUGCCUCUUGAGUCAACCUCACAUGGGUGACAAGUAACUCAUUUUGAAGGAAGUUCUAAUGGAGUUGACGGAAAUGAUCAUAGGUGCAUAUUUUGAUGAGUUACGGGAUCAAUGGUCCCUGAUUUUUAGUUGAGGGACUAUUACUCUAAUUGAAUUAAAAUUGAGGGACCAUUACUACAAUUUUCUCUUAUUAAUAUAAUCCAGUGGGGAUAUUUAUUGACCACAAAAAAAAAACAAUCCCUCGGGGUAUUUGUCUUUGUAAUGAAGAUCAUAUACGUUUAGCUCCACUCUCGGUUUUGAUGUCUUGCCCACCCCACUUAUGGACGCGAUUUUUUGCUUGCUCCACCUGCAAUUUAAUUACGAUUCCAAUCAAUAAGGAACUUCAGGAUAUACAAUGCAAUGCAGAAACCAAAGUUGAAGAGAUUUGAAAUAAAGAAUUGAUUAAUUACCUCUUUGUUCCAAUUAGUUUUGUAAAAUAUAAUUAGCAGAAGUAUGGUUUGGAGAGCAGUUCCACAUAUCAUGCCUCCCCAUAGUCCCUACAAUAUUAAUCAAAUAACUCAUCAAGUACUCGUUGUGGGAGUUGCCAAAUUAUCUUAGACAUCAUUGAAAGAAGAAAAAUAAUAUUUAUUUACCAUGACUCCCCAUUUUGCAACAUGGCAAAGAAGGUAUCCAAGAGGAAUUCCAAAAAUGUAGUAACAACCCAAGUUUAGAUAGGCAACCAUUGUCUGCCAUCCACCUCCAAUUGCAACACCUUCAAGAACAAGCAAGUCAACAAAUGCAUCAAAAUAUGCUUGCAUGCGCACAUGCAACACAUAUAUCAUAGAUUUUAUGUGCAUGAUGAUCCAUUUUGGUUAUUAUAUAGUAUAUAUAACAUGCAUAACGAGAUACCUGAUAUUACUAGUUGGACACUGUUGAGCACCAUAGUUAUACCGAGAAGGUAUGCCAACUUAGCAACCGCUUGUUGCAACUCCUGGUCACUUGUGAAAAGCAUAGCGAAAUCAUCUCUAGUCAUUAAGACAAUAAUCAUGAAAAGAAUUCCGAUCAAUAGUGAUUGAAAUACUGUCACAUAGAUAGAGUAUUUUGUUGCUCUGGGACGUCCUGACCCAAGUUCAUUAGAGACACGAACACUGCAGAAGAAGAUAAAGUUAUUAUAGACACUGUAAAUAAUCAAUGACAAGUGCAAGAUAAAUAUCAUAAAACUAAUAGUCUAAUGCAUUACGUGCCUUAUUGAAAUAUUUAUUCCAACGAACAACAUUGCUUCCCACCCAUUGAUGUUCAUGCUGUGGAGACCCAAAAAAGAAAGAAUGCUAUUAGAAAUCAAAAGCUAUCAUAUACCAUAAAAAGAGAACUUACCUGCACUAGAUACGUGCAUUGUCAUGUGUUUUAACUUUCACACAUAGCAAUAUGCAUUAUUACCCUGUGCAGUUAAGUAACAUCUAUUUAUGAAAAGAGUAUAGGUAGUUAACUAAAAAAUUUAAAAUAUUAAUUACCAAAUAGAAAGAGAACCAAUGGCUAUAACUGCAUUAGAAAGACUGCCGGUGAGAAUUAGUAUACUCAUCAUGUACCAAAUCUCAAGGCAGAGCAUGACUGCGGAGGCAAGAGAAAGUCUUACAAAUUCCCAAAUGUCCUUGAAAGCGAGCCAUGAAAAUCCAGUCCAACCCUCUUUGCACCAACCCAUAAUAUACACAACUUGAGCAAUUGCCAUCCCCCAUCUUGUAAUGUUAAAUGACACAGCUGCGCCCAAUGUGCCCCAAUCAAACUCAUACAUGAAAAGCCCUAGCAUUCCAAUGUGUAUAACCAGACCUAAAAAUGCAAUCCAUGCCAGCACCUUUACUUUUCUCUGAGCUUGGAGGAACUUCUGAGCUGGGAAAUAUAUGGCAAGUGAGAAUAUUUGAGGGAUUAUUUGGAGUGUGAAUUUUCCGGCUAGGUUCGCUAUGUCAUCUUCUUGGCCUAGCCACUUUAAAAUCGGCACGGCGAAGAUGUAAACCGGCAAAAGGAAGAGGGUGGUUACAAAUAGAAUUAUCCAUGAUCGUUGCAGGUAGAUCCCAAGCAUAUGAACCUGUCCAGCGCCAAACGCCUGUCCACACAAUGUCUCCAGGGCACUCCCCAUCCCAAGCUAAAAUUUCAUUUCAGACAAAUAAGUUUUUUGUAUUCGGUACAUUGAUAAUUUGACAAUAUCACAUACAUGGUAUAGUACUAUUUUCAAUAAAAUCACAUGUAUACGAUAUAGUACUAUUUUCAUUGUUAGAUUUUAGUCAUUGGGAAGUUUCAAAUGCGUCAACGUUUUUUGUACCAUGUGUUUCAACAAAAGCUACCUAAUUAUUACGAUAAGUUCUAACAAACAGUCUAACAAUAUAAUAUGUCAAAUAUCGCGUGUUUGAGAGAAGGGGAAUUACAAAGGGAAGGAGAUUAAGUACCAUCAAUCCAUCAGUGAAUGUGGAAAUGACAGCCAGAGAAAUCGAGAUGGCGGAGAGCUGGAUAGUUCCGAGAUGACCGGCAAAGAGCAGGAUGACUGCGUUAGUCCCAUACAUACAGAUGAUAGUGAUCACUGACGAAACGCCUAUUUGCCACAGCUUUACCGUCUCUAUCCAAAACAUACGCUGGAACGCAUCAAAGCUCCUCACCGGUGCGUAGUCUUCGUUCCCGCCUUCAUAAAGAGGAGGUCUAUUGCUCAACUCAUCGGCGCCGGCAGCAGCUGUGUGAAGCAGCGGCUCCUCCAUUUGUUAAUUAGGUUUGAGAUUUGAGUUUGAGAGAUUUGGUACCUUAGUUUGUAAAUGUGUUCUGUAAAUAACAUAUUUGGUCAGAAUAAAUCUUUCAUCGACAGAAUGUAAAAUAUAAAUAGCUUUCCUUGUACAACAAGAAGACUAGAAAUGCAACAAAGGAAAGUAACAAAUACAAAUCAAUCAUAUAACUCCUUCCUAUCUAAUUACAUUGACUUUCUAACAAUUUCUAGUUACCAAUGCUUUUCUUUAUCGUUCCGCUCUUCAGGGUGUUAAAAAGUCACACACACACAGGGAUUACUCACUUUCUAUAGCAGCCCAGAAAUGUCUCACUUUCUAUAGCAGCCCAGAAAUGUUACAGAAAGUGUUGCAAAGCAUUUUCUCUAAUGCUAUACUAGGCCAUGCUAUAGAAAGAAUAAAACUCUCUAUAGCAUUUUUCAAUUGUUAUAGAAAAAUGCUAUGAAAUGUUUUUUUAUAGUAUUUAUUAAAUGCUAUAAAAUAACAUCUGUAGCAUUUUAAAAAUGUUAUAAUCCCACUUGAUAAUAUUUAAAAAAAUGCUAUGACAAAAUUUACUAUGGCAAUUCCAAAAUGCUAUCAAAAGUUUACAAUAGCAUUUUUCAAAUGUUGUCAUAGCUUUUAUUGCAUUCUUGUACUAUCCAUAGCAUUUGGCAGUGUUUAGGAAACAUCUAUAGGGAGUUAUGGAAUCAUUGUACAAUCACAUAUCAUUUCAGAAACACUUACUAAAUCAAGGAAUCUUUUUUUAUUCCUAAUUACCAAAGUAAUAACACUAUUCAAUUAUUUACAAUUAUAUGAUAUCUCAAUUUUUUACAAAGAGAAUUGAACUAAACAAAUACAACCAUAUUCUAAAUUUUUCAUCUCUGCUUUUUAACCAUUGCAGCAGCUUCACUUUCAUUUCUCACUCACUGUAAUAGUAGAGAUCAAAGUCACUUAAUGAUGAAAAUCCCUCAAAAUAGACUACACAUAUAAUCAGCAUAAACAGACAUAUCUUCACUAAGCAGAAACUGAACAAAAAAGAAGAAACAACUAGAGCAAAAUUCCCAAAUAUGACCAAAUCCGAUUGCAAGCAGCAACAUUUGAUACAAUCUAAUAAUGUCAAUAAAGAGUCAUUAUUCCUAGCAACAUUUGAUAGAAACCUGAUCAUUAUAACUUAUAACCAAAGUUUGUAUAUAGAUAUGCGAACAUAUAUGUGGAAUUAGAACAAGCAAGUUCUGGUGAUUACAUACCUCUAAAACUAUCGUGAACGUAGCCCAAUUAUGGGUGAGCCACUAUAUAUCUUCAAGCUUAUAUUAUAAUCCUCUGCACUUCAUAUCGUUCAUCCCAUUGUAUCUUCUAUGCAUCCUCUAAGUUAACCCUAUCAAUUUUUAGCGUUAACACGGUGCAAUGUACAAUACUUUUAGGGUAAAAGACUGUUUACCACCCUCAUAUUUCGUGGUUUUCAACAUUUAGUACAUCAAAUUUUUUUUCGUCCCAGAGUCAUACCUAAAGUGUAAAUUUUGGGACAGUCUCAUACAUCUGUUAGUCAAACUGUUAGUUCUCCCGUUAAGUGAUGACGUGGCGCCCUUAUUGGACGCCACGUGUCAUUAAAAAAAUAAAAAAUGUAUUUAAAUAAAAAUAAUAUUAAAAAAUAUUUAAAUAAUAAAAUAAUAAUAAAAAAAAAAUUUCCUUCUUCUCUUCUUCUUCUUCUUCUUCUGGAUUCGGUUCUCUCUUUUCUUUUUUUUCUUCUUCCUCCUCCUUCUUCUUCCUUCUUCUUCCUUCUCCUUCCUCCUCCUUCUUCUUCUUCCUUCUCCUUCCUCCUCAUUCUUCUUCUCCUUCUUCUUCCUUCUUAAGAAGGAAGGAGGAGAAGGAAAAAAACAGAAAAAAAAAAAAAAAAAACCGAACCCAGAAAAGAAGAGGAAGAAGAAGGAGAAGAAGAAGGAGGAGGAAGGAGAAGGAAGAAGAAUGAGGAGGAAGGAGAAGGAAGAAGAAGAAGGAGAUGAAGAAGGAGGAGGAAGGAGAAGGAAGAAGAAGGAGGAGGAAGAAGGAAAAAAAAAAAAAAAAAAAGAAGAGAAACCGAACCCAGAAGAAGAAGAAGGAGGAGGAAAGAGAAGGAAGAAGAAGGAGAAAGAGGAGGAAGAAGAAGAAGAAGAAAAAAAAAAAAAAAAAGAAGAGAGAAACCGAACCCAGAAGAAGAAGAAGAAGGAGAAGAAGAAGGAGGAGGAAGGAGAAGGAAGAAGAAGGAGGAGGAGGAGGAAGAAGGAAAAAAAAAAAAAAAAAAAACCGAACCCAGAAAAAGAAGAAGAAGAAGAAGAAGAGGAGGAGGAAGAAGGAAAAAAAAAAGAAACCGAACCCAGAAGAAGAAGAAGAAGAAGAAGAAGAAGAAGAAAAAAAAAAAAAAAAAAAAAAAAAAAAAAAAGAAGAAGAGAAGAAAAAAAAAAUUAUUUUAUUAUUAUUUUAAUAUUUUAAUAUUUUUUAAUAUUAUUUUUAUUUAAAUUAUUUUUUUAUUUUUUUAAUGACACGUGGCUUCCAAUCAGAGCGCCACGUCAUCACUUAACGGGAGAACUAACAGUUUGACUAACAGAUGUAUGAGACUGUCCCAAAAUUUACACUUUAGGUAUGACUCUGGGACGAAAAAAACUUAAUGUACUAAAUGUUGAAAACCACGAAACAUGAGGGUGGUAAACAGUCUUUUACCCAUACUUUUACGUAAUAUAAUUUUUUUUUUUUUGAACAAACGAUAGUAUCUACUUUAAGUGGUGGGGGAUUGGGUUAAGCCUCACAAUGAACUUGUAAUAAUGUGAUUCAAAUUCAUCUUUGGCGAGAAUCGAACCUAAUACCUAUCACUUUCAAGUGAAGAGGAAUACUACUAGACCGUAAUGUAAACUAAAUAGAACUGCACACUUAGUUUAUCACAUGCUUAAAGGAUUGAAGUCAUAAGAGAUUGGGACAGACUAAACUUGUAAAGCUAUCAGGGAAUGUAUUUGAUCGAAUAUAAAGCUGGAAGUAAUCCUAGUAUGAAUAGGUUUAACUAUUCUGAUAUGAUAACUUUGGUUUGUGGUGAUAAGGAUAUUUGUUUAUACAAUUUGAUUAGGAUUACAUGAUGGGAAGUAACCUAAUCAAUACCACCAUUAAGGAUAUAUAAUAGAGGUCCCUGCAUUCACACUGAUUACGCAAAAUAGAGAGAACAAGCCCCAUUGUUUGUUAAUUGCAUACAGUAGUGUUGAGUGUAGAAGAGCUCUAGUUUUUCUACUGCAAUGAUUUCACAAGGUUAGUGGUUAAUUAUAUUUGUGAUUUGCUUAUUUCCACUAUUAACUAUAUUACACGUAGUGCUAGAUGGCUUAUGUAAUAUAAUAUUAGAGGAAAAGAAAAAUCUGAGAAUAAAAUGAAAGCAAUUGAAGUUGACUAUUUAGAUUCAGAGGGAAGGAGUAGGUGAGGUUUAGAUUUUGAAACCCUUUCAAUUAAACUAAAAAAAAUAGAGGGUAUAGCAACAAAGUGGUGACUUAGGAAAGGAAAUAUCUUGAGGUGGUUGACCUAAAUAACGGUAGAGGAAUCGUUUAAGAUCCUGGUGCUGGUGGUUGAUCAAUUGAACAAGUCUAACUUAACGGUCCUAAUGAGGAUGAAAAGUAAUUACGCGGUUAAAGGACGAUGUAUUAUAAGUGAAAAGCUGUAGGGUUUAUAGGUGAUGAGCCUUAAUAUUUAGUGAAUAAUUCCUGAACUGUCAUUAACAUUUCAAAAAAGUCGUUAAGAAUUGCAAAAGGGAAGUGCAUGAUAAGUUAACUGUAUUGAGGUGACAAUACCGUUUUUAUUAUUUAUGGUUCGUGCCAAUUAUUAGUUAUAAAGAACUUUGUCGGUGCUUGAUUGUCACUGGCAAUGGAGUGUUGUUAUUCACUUACACGUUAGAUUUAUUAAUGUGACUUCUAUUUGUACCAUACUUGAUCAAUCCUAAAAUUACUGAGCACCGGUUAACGUUAUAUCGUCAAUGACCUAGAAGAGUUUCUCUCUAACCAGGAGGCCAAUCACAGCGCGACAUGUGUCGACAUCAGAAGCCAAUCAUAACGCGACACAUGUCAACAUCAUAAGCCAAUCACAACACGACACGUGUCAAUGUCAGAAUGAAACUAUAAACUCUCUUCUAUAAAUAGAGAUCAGUCUCUCACAAUAUUUCCUAAUGUCAUUUGUACUAAAUCAUUCACUAGUACUCACUAAAGGAGAGCUUGAACCUAUGUACUUAUGUAAACCUUUUACAAUUAAUGAGAACUAUUCUACUCCAUGGACGUAGCAAAUCUGGGUGAACCACGUACAUCUUGUGUUUGCUUCCCUAACUCUAUCCAUUUACAUACUUAUCCACACUAGUGACCGGAGCAGUCUAGCGAAGGUCACAAAUUUAACACUUUUUGUUGUACCAAAGUCCUCACUGAUUUUGUGUAUCAACAACUUCUAUGUCACAUUUUUACAAAUUAAGGGCAUGCUUAGAUCUCAAAGUAGGUAGGAUAACAUAAACAAAACACACACACACACAGAGAGACACACACAACAGCCAUCCAAGCUCCCCCGCCCAUGCAACCCCGACAAACACCAACCUCCUGCACCCAACACCCCGCCGCUGGCAGAAAUCACCACCCAUUCUUACUACCAGCUCAGCCUUCCUCCACUUGUUUUCUCCUCAGUCCUCACCAAAACAGUGUCAUCAUUAAAUGGAGCAAAUAAUUUAAUAUACCCCAUAAAAAGAAAAGGGAACUUCAAGUACUUUCAGCUCCGUUGGCAGUUUUGAUGUCCUGCCCUCCCCACUUCCGGACACGAUUUGUUGCUUUCUCCACCUGCAAUUUGAAAUACAGCCCAUGACAUGAAGUUGCCAAAGUUGAAGAGAUUUGAAAUAUAAGUAUUGAUUAAUUACCACGUUGUUCCAGUUUGUUUUGUAAAGUAUAAUUAGCAGAAGUAUGGUUUAGAGAGCAGUUCCACAUAUCAUGCCCCACCCCCCCCCCCCCCCCCCCCCCAAAAAAAGUCCCUACAACAUCAAUCACAUAACUCAUCAAGUACUUGGUGUCGAAGUUGCCAAAUUAACUUGGCAACAUUGAAAGAAAAUAAAUAAUAUUAAAUUUACCGUGACUCCUAAAUUUGCAACAUUGCAAAGAACGUAUCCAAGAGGAAGUCCAAAAAUGUAGUAACAACCCAAGUUUAUAUAAGCAACCGUUGCCUGCCAUCCACCUCCAAUUGCAACACCUUCAAGAGCAAGAUCAAAACAUGGCAUCAUAUCAUGUUUGCGCAAUCACACACUAUAAAAUUUUGCACACAUAACGUUUGUUCUUUGUUAUAUAUAUUACGUAUAAGAUGCAUAAUACACAGUGACUUGUCAAAUAGAUACCUGAUAUUACUGGUUGGACACUAUUGAGCACCAUAGUUAUACCAAGAAGGUAUGCAAGCUUAGCGACCGCUUGUUGCAGCUCCUUGUCACUUGUGAAAAUUACGGCAAAAUCGUCUUUGGUUAUUAAAAUAAUAAUCAUGAAAAGAAGCCCAAGCAAGAGAGAUUGAGAUACCGUCACAUAAACGGCGUAUUUGACUGUUCUAGGACGUCUUAAUCCAAGCUCAUUGGCGACACGAACACUAUAUAAGUAAAGAAAGUUGUUAUAAAUAAUCCAAAAUAAUUAGAGAAAAUUGCAGGGUAAAUACCAGAGAACUACUAGUCCAAUGUUUUACCUUAUUGCAGCAUUUAUUCCAACGAACAACAUUGUUUCCCACCCGUUGAUGUUCAUGCUAAGAAAACCCAAAAGUGGAAAAUAAAUGCUAUUAGAAAUCAAAAGCUCAUGUAACAUGUAAAGGGGAAAACACCAGAUACAUUAUUGUACUGAACCAAUAACACAUUGUCACAUAUCUAAAUGAUUUUAAAUGACAUUACAUUAUUGACUUAAAAUAUUGUUAAAGUGUCAUACCCGCCGUAAGUCACAAAAAGGGUAAAGAUUUUUUUUUUUUUUUGAACAAAACAAAAUGGGUAAAGUUAAUUAUUUGAAAAAGGAAAAAAGUGAAGUGUUAAUUACCAAAUUGAAAGAGAACCAACGGCUAUAACUGCAUCAGAAAGACCGCCCGUGAGAAUGAGUAUACUCAUCAUGUACCAAAUUUCCAGGCAGAGCAUAUGCAGACGAGAAAUUCAUGCCCAAAUCAUUGAAAAAGAUUCCAGUCCACCCUACGAACCCAUAAUACAUUCAAUUGAAAUCCCCCAUGAGGUUAAUGACAUGCCCCCAGUGCCAAUCAACAUACAUCGCUCACUGUGUAUGACCACCAACACUGCAAUCCAUGCCAGCACCUUCACCUUCCUCUGAGCCUAGAGUAAAAUUAAAUUCUCAGACAUUCUUGUGGGAGUGUCAAGAGUACAAAAGCUCUUACGAAUUCUACAUAAAACGGUUAGAUACUUGAAAUUCCAGCACCAAUGUUGUCCACACAGGGUCGAGCACAACAAGCUAGCAAAAUCAUUUCACAACGAACAGAUUUCGUAUCAACUAUCUGACAACAUAACAUAAUGAUGUUUAGAUCCACAUGUAUCAUAUAUGUUGCUAACUAAUAUUUUGACGUUGAUGAUCGAUACUUUGUCACGCGUUACCCUUUAAUGAAUAAAAGCAAGGUGAAGAUCUACUAAGAACCUAUGCUUACUCAAGAAACAUAAGGAAUUAAAAAAGUUAAUUAAUACCAAAAUAGUAUAGUGAAUGUGGAUAUGACAUAGAAAGGAAAUGAGAAAAACAAGUCAUAGUUCCUAGAAACGCGGGUAACUUAAAAAGGGCCCUAAUAUUAUUAAAGAAAAAUUUAAGUUUAAAAAUAGUAAAUAUUUAAAAAUAUGUGGUUUAUAUAAAUUACUUGUUGCUCCAAUCUACAGGGUAUUUAAAAAUACAAAACAUUUAUUAUCGAUCAUGCUUGCUUUAUAUAGGGACCACUUAUAAAUUGUUUAAAAGUAGUUCGAAAGUAAAAAAGGAUACUUUCUAGAUACGACUUAAUCUUCAUUAUUUGACAAAAACCUUAGUGAUAUUCAAAGUUUGAUCAAAAUCCAAACUUUGUACACCUUAUUAUUAUUAAAAUUUUUUUAUUUAUAGUUCCAACAUUAAUUGAUAUUUUUAGAAACUAAAUCUUAUAAAUUUAAACCCUCAUUUAAAUACUUUUAAAAACAGUUUACAAUAAAACAUUCAAAACAAGAUUGAAUAAAUAAAAAACUAAGAUUAUUUAUUCAAUAAAUAAAGUUUAUGAUGUUAUUAAUAUCCAAGGACGCUUAAUAAUAUAUUAAAAUUGACAAGAUCUGAAUAGGAUUUCUAGUCAAUGGAAUAGUAAAAAGAAGGAUGUAAACCUAAUUUCUCUUUUACAUGAUGUUAUUAAUAUCCAAGGACCUUAAUUAAAAAUUGAAAAUGAAUAGGAUUUUAGUCAAUGGAAUAGUAAAAAGAAGGAUGUAAACCUAAUUUCUCUUUUAAAUAAUUACUUAAUAAUUGACUUAUGCACUUCAAUUUUUCACUCAACUACUCAUUUGACACUCCACCACAAAAUCUCGAAAUCUGAAUGGUUUAUGUUUUAGGUCUUAAUUAAAUAUCUUUCAAAAUAUGAUGUUGACCACUCAUUCAUUUACACUCCACAAUUUGAUCUCAUAAUCUAAACGUUUUUAUUCUACUUCUAAGUGUCCAACAAUCGCCUUACCCUACCAUAUAUAUUCUCAAACUAAAAGCUUGCGUUCAAAUAUGAUACGUUCUCAAACUAACAGCUUGUGGCCAAAUUAGAAUUAUCUUUUGUUAAACUAAACCAUAGCCUAUAUUAACGGACAGGAAACACUUGAGGAUGGAACAAGAAAAUGAAAAUAAAAGUGGAUGGUACUGUGGAACAAAGAGAUAAGUCAAAAGCAAGGAUCAUGUGGCGGGGGUCAUGUGGGGGUGGGGGUGGGGGUGGGGGUGGGGAGGGGGAGAUGAAUCCUUCAAGGUCUAACCUAACAGUCCUAACCCAUGCAUGAGAACGACGACUAGGUUGGAAUUUAUUGUUGGAUUUUUAACACAAAUAAUCCUUGAAAUUGACCAUUAUCAUCAAAAUAGUCUUUAAAAUUAAAAAUCAAUCAAUGUAAUCUUUGAAAAUAGGUGUCGCAAAUUAAUGUGGUCCUUCCAUCACAGUUCUGUUAAAAAUCCCAUUAAUUGCUGAUGUGGCACAUAAAGGGGCCCAACAAGAUUUACGGAUUUUUAUCAGAAAUGAUCCCUAAAAUUGAUCUACAUCAUCCAGAUGAUCUCUGAAAUUGAAAAUCAAUCAAUGUAGUCCUUGAAAAUAGAUGUCGCAAAUCAAUGUGAUCAUUCCGCUACAAUUUUGUAAAAAAAUUGUUAUGUGCUGAUGUGGGUUUAAUAAUUAAUUUAAAAAGUUGUCUAAGUACCUUUUUGCACAAUAGAAUUAUUUUUUUUUCCUUAUUGUAGGGCCUACUCCGAAGAGUGAUCCCUUACAUAAAUUCUCAAAGGCACAAGGCUUAACCAAGGCCUAAGAGGGGGUAUGGAAAUAGUUUUCAAUCAACAAUAGACGCACCUUGGUUAUAAUCUCAUUAUCUCAAGGCAAACUUUUUCGUUCUUUGCAUCGCCAAACCACCAAGGAAGUGCUGAACAAGCUCUCCAAGAUUAAGGUUGUGAUGAUGUUGAUCACCUAAAUGUUAACGAUGAUGUCCCAUAAGUCGUUGCCAAUCAGCCAAGCCAUCACCAAAUGUGAUCUCGACCCAAGUUCAAUUCAGUGAAGGGUGUUGAAGUGUGUAAAGAUAUGUGUAUUGAGAUUUUUUUUUUCUUUUCCAAAGAAUAGAGAGAAUGAGGUAGAGAUGUGGACUGGGAUC